AUACCGGGCCUUUUUGGGCUUGGUAAUUGGAAUGAGGGAGAGUUAAACGGACCAUCGAGUAUCCAUUGGAGGGCAAGUCUGGUGCCAGCAGCUGCGGUAAUACCAGCUCCAAUAGCGUAUAUUAAAGUUGUUGCAGUUAAAAAGCUCGUAGUUGGACUUGUGUGCGCUGUCCGCGGGUGGCCUGCGCCCAAAAGGGCGUUUCGGUUCGGCCCCGGUGGCGCCUUGAAAUCUGCAGCUGGGGGGACGUUGGCCUUAACUGGUCGGCGACCGCACGCCGGCUGCUCGGUUACUGUGAGAAAAUUAGAGUGUUCAAGGCAGGCAUUGGGUGCAAUUGAAUACAUUAGCAUGGAAUAAUAAAAUAUGGCUCCUGCCGUAUUUUGUUGGUUUUGACUGGUGGGAGUAAUGAUUGAUAGGGACGGUUGGGGGUGCUAGUAUUGAGCGGCCAGAGGUGAAAUUCAUGGAUUCGCUCUAGACUAACUUAUGCGAAAGCAUUCACCAAGGACGUCCUCUUUAAUCAAGAACGAAAGUUGGGGGAUCGAAGACGAUCAGAUACCGUCGUAGUCUCAACCAUAAACUAUGUCGACUUGGGAUCGGCGGUAGUUUUUUUCAUUAAGACACUGUCGGGACCACGGGAGAAAUCAAAGUGUCUGGACUCUGGGGGAAGUAUGGUCGCAAGGCUGAAACUUGAAGGAAUUGACGGAAGGGCACCACCAGGAGUGGAGCCUGCGGCUUAAUUUGACUCAACACGGGGAAACUUACCAGGUCCAGAGAUGUAGAGGAUUGACAGAUUGAAGCUCUUUCUUGAUCACUUCGGUGGUGGUGCAUGGCCGUUCUUAGUUGGUGGAGUGAUUUGUCUGGUUAAUUCCGUUAACGAACGAGACCUCAGCCUGCUAGUGUAGUCGGCUGGAUUGCCUUUGGCGAUCCGUGAUUUCGACUUCUUAGAGGGACAAUCGACGCGCAGUCGAUGGAAGUUUGAGGCAAUAACAGGUCUGUGAUGCCCUUAGAUGUUCUGGGCCGCACGCGCGCUACACUGCUGGGCUCAGCGAGUUUUACUUGGCCGAGAGGCCCGGUUAAUCUUGUGAAAUCCCAGCGUGCUUGGGCUCGCCUCCUGCAACUGGAGGCGCCAACGAGGAAUUCCUAGUAGACGCAGGUCAUCAACCUGCAUCGAUUACGUCCCUGCCCUUUGUACACACCGCCCGUCGUUCCAUAAGAGUGAGGCAUCCGGUGAAUUCUCGGGAGAGCCUGGGCGUGGCCAGCAAUGGUCUGCUCGGGUUUGAACUUGCAUAAACUUGGUGCCUAUGAUUAGGG
This 1308-nucleotide ribosomal RNA is filed under the name metagenome. RNAcentral's name for it is "SSU rRNA". It matches the Rfam family "Eukaryotic small subunit ribosomal RNA", at positions 483 to 1783 of the family's 1831-position model. The record is from RNAcentral.